This 71-nucleotide transfer RNA is filed under the name Marinobacter sp. RNAcentral describes it as "tRNA-Met". It matches the Rfam family "tRNA". From Rfam's summary of the family: Transfer RNA (tRNA) molecules are approximately 80 nucleotides in length. Their secondary structure includes four short double-helical elements and three loops (D, anti-codon, and T loops). Further hydrogen bonds mediate the characteristic L-shaped molecular structure. tRNAs have two regions of fundamental functional importance: the anti-codon, which is responsible for specific mRNA codon recognition, and the 3' end, to which the tRNAs corresponding amino acid is attached (by aminoacyl-tRNA synthetases). tRNAs cope with the degeneracy of the genetic code in two manners: having more than one tRNA (with a specific anti-codon) for a particular amino acid; and 'wobble' base-pairing, i.e. permitting non-standard base-pairing at the 3rd anti-codon position. The record is from RNAcentral. Lineage: Bacteria; Pseudomonadati; Pseudomonadota; Gammaproteobacteria; Pseudomonadales; Marinobacteraceae.
AGUCUCGUAGCCUAACGGUAGGGCAGCGGUCUCAUAAGCCGUGCAUACAGGUUCGAUUCCUGUCGAGACUA